GCAAGUCGAUCGAGAAAGCAUCUUCGGAUGUGAGUAGAGUGGCGCACGGGUGAGGAACGCGUAGGUGAUCUACCUUUUGGCGGGGAAUAACUAAGAGAAAUUUUAGCUAAUACCGCGUAAGUAGAUAUUUUUGAAGAUUUAUCUAGAAAGGAUGCCUCUGUAUAUGCAUCCACCGAAAGAUGAGCCUGCGUGACAUUAGCUUGAUGGUGGGGUAAAGGCCUACCAUGGCGACGAUGUCUAACUGGUCUGAGAGGAUGAUC
RNAcentral lists this ribosomal RNA (260 nucleotides) under uncultured bacterium. RNAcentral describes it as "partial 16S ribosomal RNA". It matches the Rfam family "Bacterial small subunit ribosomal RNA", at positions 57 to 305 of the family's 1533-position model. The record is from RNAcentral.